UUGCCUUAAACUAAUGAGUAAGGAAAACAAAGCGAGGGGUGAGAAUCGCUCGCAGCGCUAACUCAAUAUUCGCGCAGUAAUUUUUAGAGGGGUUAUAGGCUGGCUAAGUGUUGACGCUGCUUACUUUGGCAGAACUCGCUUAGCGGGCCUCCU
This is a small nuclear RNA of Impatiens glandulifera, 153 nucleotides long. RefSeq annotates it as U12 minor spliceosomal RNA. The record is from RefSeq and is a predicted model, not a curated record. The transcript has a single exon. NCBI's taxonomy places the organism in Eukaryota, Viridiplantae, Streptophyta, Magnoliopsida, Ericales, Balsaminaceae.